GACGAACGCUGGCGGCGUGCUUAACACAUGCAAGUCGAGCGGUAAGGCCCUUUCGGGGGUACGACGAGCGGCGAACGGGUGAGUAACACGUGGGUGGCCUGCCCUCCAGCUCUGGGAUAAGCCUGGGAAACCGGGUCUAAUACCGGAUAUGACUCCAUGACGCAUGUUGUGGGGUGGAAAGCCUUGUGCGGCUGAGGAUGGGCCCGCGGCCUAUCAGCUUGUUGGUGGGGGUGAUGGCCUACCAAGGCGACGACGGGUAGCCGGCCUGAGAGGGCGACCGGCCACACUGGGACUGAGACACGGCCCAGACUCCUACGGGAGGCAGCAGUGGGGAAUCUUGCGCAAUGGGCGAAAGCCUGACGCAGCGACGCCGCGUGAGGGAUGACGGCCUGGUGUAACU
This 400-nucleotide ribosomal RNA is filed under the name uncultured bacterium. RNAcentral describes it as "bacterial SSU rRNA". It matches the Rfam family "Bacterial small subunit ribosomal RNA", at positions 28 to 430 of the family's 1533-position model. The record is from RNAcentral.